RNAcentral lists this ribosomal RNA (376 nucleotides) under uncultured bacterium. RNAcentral's name for it is "bacterial SSU rRNA". It matches the Rfam family "Bacterial small subunit ribosomal RNA", at positions 30 to 409 of the family's 1533-position model. The record is from RNAcentral.
AUUGAACGCUGGCGGCAUGCCUUACACAUGCAAGUCGAACGGCAGCACGGGAGCAAUCCUGGUGGCGAGUGGCGAACGGGUGAGUAAUAUAUCGGAACGUGCCCAGUCGUGGGGAUAACGUAGCGAAAGCUACGCUAAUACCGCAUACGAUCUAUGGAUGAAAGCGGGGGAUCGCAAGACCUCGCGCGAUUGGAGCGGCCGAUAUCAGAUUAGGUAGUUGGUGAGGUAAAGGCUCACCAAGCCGACGAUCUGUAGCUGGUCUGAGAGGACGACCAGCCACACUGGGACUGAGACACGGCCCAGACUCCUACGGGAGGCAGCAGUGGGAAUUUGGACAAUGGGCNCAAGCCUGAUCCAGCAAUGCCGCGUGCAGGAU